RNAcentral lists this unclassified non-coding RNA (385 nucleotides) under uncultured Planctomycetota bacterium. RNAcentral describes it as "uncultured planctomycete contains 16S-23S intergenic spacer region". Lineage: Bacteria; Pseudomonadati; Planctomycetota. The record is from RNAcentral.
UCCGGUUUAACACCGGCAGUCUCUCUAGAGUUCCCAGCUUGACCUGAUGGCAACUAGAGACAAGGGUUUCGCUCGUUAAGGGACUUAACCCGACAUCUCGCGACACGAGCUGACGACAGCCAUGCAACACCUUUAUGCGUUCCACCGGUUAAGGCGUCGCUCUACUUUCAUAGAGUUAAUCCGCACACUUCGAGCCCGGGUAAGGUUCUUCGCGUUGCAUCGAAUUAAGCAACAUGCUCCACUGCUUGUGUGAGCCCCCGUCAAUUCCUUUGAGUUUCAGCCUUGCGACCAUACUCCCCAGGCGGGAUACUUAACGCUUUUGCUCCGGCAAGGAUCCCCUUGCAGGGACCCCUACUUAGUAUCCAUCGUUUAGGGCGUGGACUAC